This is a long non-coding RNA of Manis pentadactyla (Chinese pangolin), 6834 nucleotides long. RefSeq lists it as uncharacterized. NCBI's taxonomy places the organism in Eukaryota, Metazoa, Chordata, Mammalia, Pholidota, Manidae. The record is from RefSeq and is a predicted model, not a curated record. The transcript is spliced from 3 exons.
CCUAGCCCGUCCCAUCCUGCGGCUGCGGGAAGGCCUGGGGGUGGCAGAGUGAGAAGCCUGGUCUUUCCAGCCGCACUGCCCUCCGGGUCCACCCUUGUGUGGGCCUGGCCGCUGUGCACUCCCCUGCCUGUCCCGGCACCUGCCCCUCCCCCUUCCUGACCCUGCGUGUCUGUCCUGGGACCCCAUCCUCUCCCAUCCUCCCGAAUAGGAAGUCCCCAGUCGUCAGCCCCCCCAUGGGAAUCCAAAGCUGAGUGACCUGUUGGGCUCUGCUGUGGGCUCAUGGGGCUCCCGCUCGGGGCCUGGCUCUGAGGCUGAGGCCACUGCUGGGACAUCCUCCAGCUCUGCAGGAGCUGAAGCAGGUGACACCAGCCGUCUUGCCAGCACAGGGGUCUCAGGGAGCUCCUGGAUGGGCUCUAGCCGUGAAGCCGGCCCUCCCCGUGUCUCUGGAGCCAGCUGCCUCUGCCGUGGGUCUGGAGCGGGACACAGAGAAAGGGUCACCGUGGGCCUGAUUCCCCGCGCCUUACAAUGACAGAAGAGCCCUCAGUGCCUUGAAGGGAACCCCAGUCCGGGAAGCCCACCCUAGACGGUCCCCUGGCUGCAGCCCCUCACCUUCCAGCACUGCCACCGUGGGCCCCAGGUGCUCCUCCUGGACCAAGUGGUGGAGGACUUGGCCCACCAGGGUGGAUGAAGGCUGGCUGCCGUGGAGGUCGCUGGGCACGCUCUCAGGCUCCCAGGCAAGGCGCCUAGCCCGUCCCAUCCUGCGGCUGGGGUAAGGCCUGGGGGUGGCAGAGUGAGAAGCCUGGUCUUUCCAGCCGCACUGCCCUCCGGGUCCACCCUUGUGUGGGCCUGGCCGCUGUGCACUCCCCUGCCUGUCCAGGCACCUGCCCCUCCCCCUUCCUGACCCUGCGUGUCUGUCCUGGGACCCCAUCCUCUCCCAUCCUCCCGAAUAGGAAGUCCCCAGUCGUCAGCCCACCCAUGGGAACCCAAAGAUGAGUGACCUGCUGGGCUCUGCUGUGCUCCCCCAACCCCAAGCCCCAAACUCCUCCUCCCCCCAUUCUGUGAGAUGGGCAGCACCUCCUCUGGACCCAGUGAACGCUCACAUUUUCAAUUCCCCCUCUGGCCCCUCGUCAUGCCCCCUGUUGCUUGAGGAGGCCGUGACGGCAUCAGUCGUGACACUCCCUGGCCGUGACCUGCGGAUGAUGCCUGAAGUGACUGCCCGAGUCCACCCGGGAUGGGGUCCCAGUAUUGUGUCUGCUUCCUUCACUCAGUUGUGCUAAGUGUCCCCAAAGGGUCUGCACAAAGUGGGCACUGCGUACCUAUUGUUGCUUAAGGAAGUCCUACCAGAACUUCUCCAGGUACCCCUCUCCUGCCCCCAGAGGUCCCUCAUGUGGCGACAGUGAGGACAAGGACCCGGCCCAAACACAGGGAAUCGCGAGCCUCCGUUCCAAAGGCUGCUUCCCAUGUGCUUUUCCAAAUGAGCCAGGCUCCAGGCCACUGACGGGUGAGGCCAAAGGCUUUCAUCGGGUACAGAGAAGUAAGCCCCGAAGUGGCCCAGCUUGGCCGGCAGUCCUUUACCAUGCCGGGCACCAGGGGAACCCCUCUAAGGCUCCUCCCAUGUUCCCCAUGGGCACCCUAACAGGCUGAUCGCCAGCCUCCCUGCCUGUCAGAGGAGCACGCUGAGGCUCAGACACGUGGGGACAUGCAAGACACACCGCGGGCUGUGGGCAGAGGCCCGACUGGCCAAGGAGGGGUUGGGUGCUCACCGGGGGAGCCGCUGGCCCGUGGUCAGCUGGUCAGCAUCAUCGGGUGGGAGUGUGGCCUCGGGAGCGCUCCGGCUGGUGUUUGGAGCUGGUUCCACUCGUGCCUUUCGCUUUCUCCACUUCCUCCUCACACCUAUCCAGGGAUCCCUGCACUUGCGGACCUCAGUCCCAUGGACAGAUGGCUCAGGUUCAGGCUAAGGGGGGAAACAGGGAUAUAGUCAGUGGGAAACCCAGGAAUCACCAGGACGAGGCAGGUUUGCAGCUCACCCGAGAGCCCCCAGCCCCCUGGGGUGCGAGCAAGGAGAGGCACGGGGUGCCCCCGGGAACAAGGUUCCAGGCCCUCUGGAGUGGUCCUGUCAGCCACUCUCGUGGGGAAGCCCUGGGAGGGAAGGGAUCCUGGGUGUAGACAGCCUGCCCCAGGUCCAGGGAGAUGGAGUAGGUGAAUCCAUCCACCAGCUCCUCCACGCUCCCCAGGGUGGAGCUCUGCAAAGCCGGCACCUGGUAGCUGGGGAGGAGGCACCCAUGGUUGCGUGGACCUCCCCACAGGGGGCAAUGUGGGCCCCCAACUCUGCCCCCGAGAUCAGGCCCACAGGGCCAUCUGCAUAGACAUCCAGUCCCUCAGGGAAGAGGAGGACACCCCUGGGCUCAGGAUUAACAUGUGGGUGGAAGUACCUGGUCCCAACACUCACCUCCAUGUCCUGAAUCAUGAGACCAGAGCUGUGACACUGACUGCCCCCUGCUCCCCAGCCUUCAGUCCCACCCAUGCCCCAUGCCCACCGCACACACACAAGGGGCCUGGGGAAACGUCAGCCAGGAUGGGUCACACUCGUGGCCUGGCCCUGGAAUGGCCCGCUCUGGGCUGCCCUGUGUUACCUCGGGGCUCCUCGGGAUACACGGAUAGAGGCGUUGGAGGAGGUCACUGAGCCAACGCCCACAGCGAGCAGGAAGACUCUCCCUCUCGGCUUCCCUGACUCCCUCGCUUUCAGAAGGCUCCGCACAACAAGACCGCAUGUUGCUCUGUCGAGCGCCUCCGGUCAAGUGAGCUGGACUGGGUUCUGCGACCAGGAGCUGGGUUCCAUCCGUCCGGGUCACAAUUGAGGUUCUACUUGGCAUGUCAUCAGUGACAUCACUUCUUCAAGGGCCCCUCCCUGCAUUCAGACACGCCCACGUGCCCCUCUGGGCUGCUGACUGCCCCCCCUCCUGGCCCUUGCCAUGCAUGAGUACACACAUCUCCACCAGAGCCCUCCCCACGCUCUCUGGCAAUGUCACCGGGGUCCCAGCUCUGAGGAGACAAGAGCUGAGCUCAGUCCGCUUUUUCUCACUAGUUCCCUGUCCUGCUGAGGCCACAGCACCUCCCAGGACCUGCCCAACAUCCCAACCUGCACAGGGAGGGUCACGCCAGACAUUUCUCCCUAAGGACAUCCCCAGGGAUACAUGGAUGACACCUCCAGCUCCUGGGGACUGGCGUCACAUGUGUCUGACACACAGACUCAGAGAUGGAAGAAUGCCAACCAGGCUUGGCAUGGAGCGUGGAACACCACGCAGGUCAGGCCGGGGUCCAGGCCGUGUGAUCUUGGGCAAGUCAGUCCCCUUCUAGGCCGUUUUCAGGUGUGCACCUUGAAGGGGCAGCAAUGAGAGGAGAUCCAGGUGUUGCCAUCUACUGCCUUCCACCUUCCACAGGUCCAGGCUGCUCUCAAAUCUGAAAUCCGCACCAGGCGUGUGUGUGUGUUUGGGGUGGUGGUGCAGAUACAGCAUCUUAUUCUUCACCUUAGAAGGGAUAGCUUGGCAUGCCCACAAGAUAGAUUUCUAGUAACUUCUCUAAGAUGAAAGGUCCCUCAAUUUUUGUUGGAUUUAGUCCACCUUCUGACAUGUGACUGCGCUGUCAAUAUGCCUAGAUGAGCUGUACUUCCUGAUCACUGGGUCCAGUCAGCCUAGUACCAUCAAUGGGAUGGGCCAGUGUGACGGCUUCUGGAAGAAAAAGGAGAUGAAGCUUCCUUCUGUCUAAAUGACAACCCAAGUCUGGAGGUCUGAUAUGCCUCUGAGAUAGUUUUCUCUCCUUGCCGGCUGAAAGCUAACUGCCCUGCUGGUCUUUACUCACAGGAAGAGAACAAAGAGCAUUUUCCUGACCAAUACUUACACACUGGGUGCUUGGGGACCAAGUGAUGAAGCCCCAUGUGCAGCAGGAACUGCAGUUUGAGACACUCUGAUUACACUGACAAUCAUUCACUGUCAUCUCCAAGAUUCGUCUGUUUUCUAAGUAGGCUAAAUGAGUGACUUCAAUAAGGGUAUGUGGAAAUCACCACCCGUUCUUCUUUCAAAUCCUUGGUGUCACCAGGCAUUACUGCUUUCAAUGUAUACAGGGAGUUCUAGAGGCUUGUACUUGCCCUGCCACACAGCAUGAACUCCUGGCCGGCACAGUCCCCCGUGUCUAGCAAGGAGGAAGCCGGGAGCUCUGCGUCCCUGACAGCUCGGCCCUGUGGCCUCUGACACUGAAGGAGCGGCACUGCGGGCACUUGGUCGGGGUGGGGGGUGCUGCUCCUGAUACCAAGACCCGGUCCUCGUCCCUGAGGUCAAACCACAAAACACAAUGACAAGGGUUUGAAGAAAGGAAAGAAUAGUUUAUUGACUUGCUAGCAAAUGAGGGAGUGGCCAGCUCCUGCCUUGAAGAACCACCGUCCUCCUGACACAAGCGGUCAGGGCUUUUCAAGGGGAAAUGGUAGGAGAGGGGCUGGGGUGCCGACACAUGAAGUAGCAGCCUGCAAAGGUCCAAGCAGACAUUCCUCCUCCGAUUCACUAGCUUUGUGUUUUUCUUUUCUGAUGCUCCUCAGUUCCCGGGGACUGGAUGCUUGGGGUUGAACAAAAUCAGCUUUCAGCUUUAACUCUGACCCUCAGACUAGGAAAAUCUGAAGAACAAGAAGAAACUGCCACCCCAUCCACCUCUGCCCAUUAGUGGACAAAGUUUCUGGGGCUGUUUGAGUUCACUUUCUAGUAAAUGUUAGUGUUCAGUUUUGAACAAAGAUUUGAUUCCCCUUUUCUUCUAUUACAAAUUCAUUUCUUACUGUUACAUUCCUUAACAGCAGCCCAAAAACUGAUCAUGAAAUGCCUUGAGGGAGAGUUUCUGACUAUUACCUGAAGAUAGGCACAAGUUGAAAAACACAGCUCUAAGCGUUUCUUGGAAUAUCAGUGCUGGCUGAUAAGACAGGAACUGCCAUCUGCGGUUCAGAUUUCCAGUGGACUUGGCUUAUGUGUUCAAAUUCUGCAAAUGUUGCUGUUAGAAUCAGCAAGGGGCUGUCUCCUUGCAAGUGCUUGGAGCUGACAGCCUUGCAUUUAAUACUCGCAUGCAGAAUUUUCUCAAGAGCCCCUCCCCCACUUCUAGCACAUGAAGAAGUUGGGGAAAUGAGAAGAGGGGGCCCACAGAUGCCUUUAUGUCCAGACCCACUGCCCCACUCCCUCCACAGAGGCCUCAGGAGCCAAGGGGGCAGUGCUUGCAAGCCUAGGGCCUCCACUUUGCCUUCCAGGCUGCUCCCCCUGCUGCUGCUGCUGCUGCUGUUGCUAAGCUUGUUAGCACUUUCAGAAACUUAGGAGAGAAACACAAGCGCAACUUGGGCCUCACUGAGGUUUCGGUUCAGUGAACAGGCCCAGCACCCUCCUGGCGACCCAGGUGUGCCUGCUUCCGGGAGCGCCUUCCUUAUACACUGGAGGGCGGGACCAGGCCAGGUGGGGUGGGGCUCCAUUCCCCAGAGUUUCUGUGUUGGGAAGGGGACAGAGGUCGGGCCAGGGCCUCCCGUCCUCCUGUGGCCAGUGGGUGGGAACCCGCUUUCCGAUGAACAGCUGUUCCGAUCCGUGUAUGGCUUGUUAGAGGUAAAACUUAUUUUUUCUAGGUAUUGGAAGAGCCUUUUGCCAUAUAUAUUAUAUACAUACAUCCUCCGUCGGACCUGGAGAUGGGGCUGAGGGAAGCGGGCAGUGAAUGGGAUUUUUUUUUUUCCUGUCAGAAAACGUGACAGGACAUGCUUAAAUAUAGCAUUACCUGGCAAAAAAAUAUCAUCCUUCCGUCCGGAUUCUACCUUUUUCAGUGAAUGGAUGUCAGCCAGAGGGGAGGAAGGGUCUCCGGUUUCGGGUUCCCACCCAGCGCCUGCAGGCAUCCUCCCCUCCGCGCACAGCCUCAAGGGCCCCCCUGGGCUUCCCGACACUAAAGCGGCCUCGUCCCGUGGGGGCAUCAGGCUUAGACCCUCUGUGCCUGCUGCUUUCAAGUCAAGGCGGAAGACUUGGGUGUGGAGUUCACGUGGCCACUAGGAGUUCGUGGCUACUCGGAAAGCGCGUGUCUCCGCAGCCCAGGAUCACCCCCGACAAAAGCCGAUUGUGCCAAGGCAUUCCUCAAAUGAAAAGGGAAAUUAAUGAUUCCUUCUGUUAGAAUCCCUUUCCAUCCUAAAAACGGCAUUUUUGCAUACUUAUUCGUACAUUUCCUUAAUAGCCCUCGCAUAGAGAUGUGUACAGGUGCGAGGAGAGCAGUGAUUGUCCAAACCCUUAAAGAGCCCAACAGUGGCUCCUGCACUCAGACUCUUAGUAAUCACUCCUGGCUGGUGCUGGGGUGACUGUGACAGUGGUGACAGCGUUCACACGAAUAGCAUGUUCAACAGCAUGGGUCCUCUGAGACCUCUGGCAAUUUUAUGUAUCACCUCACUUUGCCACUCGCCACAUUUUGCCUUGUGUUGUAGUUAUUUCUAAACAAAUGCUUGAGUAGGAGGAUUGUGUUUACUUAUUUCCAUUUACUCCAUGAGGGAGAGCACUAGGUUCAUGUAUAUUAAUUAGUAAGUGCUUUAGGGUAUGUAUGUAAUUGAAAAUCUGUACACCUGAAACUCAUGUAUCAACUAUAUCUCGAUUUUAAAACAAGAAAGAAAUUGGUGGUAAUGGUUGUUCAGUAACUGCUUUUCUUAGAACCAUAUAGAAGUGCUUGGCCUGCUUGGCCGUGGCCAAGAAUGUUUGACCACCUUGGUGCAAACUGCCUAGCUUAUUGCAGUAAUUUCCUAACUGGUUCCACCAAGUCUUUUCUUGCCACUCUUGAACAGAAUUUCUU